Molecule: ribosomal RNA, 466 nt
Filed under: uncultured bacterium
Lineage: Bacteria
Description: partial 16S ribosomal RNA
Rfam family: Bacterial small subunit ribosomal RNA
Source: RNAcentral
GAUGAACGCUGGCGGCGUGCUUAACACAUGCAAGUCGAACGGAAAGGCUCCUGCUUGCAGGGGUACUCGAGUGGCGAACGGGUGAGUAACACGUGGGUGAUCUGCCCUGCACUUCGGGAUAAGCCUGGGAAACUGGGUCUAAUACCGGAUAGGACGAUGGUUUGGAUGCCAUUGUGGAAAGUUUUUUCGGUGUGGGAUGAGCUCGCGGCCUAUCAGCUUGCUGGUGGGGUAAUGGCCUACCAAGGCGUCGACGGGUAGCCGGCCUGAGAGGGUGUACGGCCACAUUGGGACUGAGAUACGGCCCAGACUCCUACGGGAGGCAGCAGUGGGGAAUAUUGCACAAUGGGCGCAAGCCUGAUGCAGCGACGCCGCGUGGGGGAUGACGGCCUUCGGGUUGUAAACUCCUUUCGCUAGGGACGAAGCGCAAGUGACGGUACCCGGAGAAGAAGCACCGGCUAACUACGUG